UAACCUGGUUGAUCCUGCCAGUAGUCAUAUGCUUGUCUCAAAGACUAAGCCAUGCACGUCUAAGUACAAACUAAAUGAUGGUGAAACUGCAAAUGGCUCAUUACAACGGUUAUGAUGUACCCGGGAGUUCCGAUGGAUAUUUCCAGUAACACUAGAACUAAUACAUGUCCCUGCGUUUAUAGUUUCACACAGUCCGUCGCUGAGUCAUGGUAAACAGUGAUCGACUCGACGUCCCGGAACAGUUUCCGCCCCAUCAGCUUCGAUGGUUGGGUAUUGGCCUACCAUUGCAACAACGGGUAACGAGGAAUUAGGGUUUGAUUUCGGAGAGGGAGCCUGAGAAACGGCUACCACAUCUACGGAUGGCAGCAGGCGCGCAAAUUACCCAAUGCAGACACUGUGAGGUAGUGACGAGAAAUAAUAAAGCGGGACUUCUGUUUCGCUAUUAUAAUGAGGAAUAACCAAAGGUCAUUCCGAUUAGCAACUGAUGGGAAAGUCUGGUGCCAGCAGCCGCGGUAAUACCAGCGUCAGUAGCAUAUAUUAAAAUUGUUGCAGUUAAAACGUCCGUAGUCUGUACGUCGUCACCAACUCACUGCAGUCUUCCGUCUUCUUGAUUGAAUGCGGUAGUGCCUGCAGUCACUCCCUUGAUCAAAUUAAGUUGUUCAAGGUAGACCAAGUCUUCAUAAUUUCACAUGGAAUUGGGUGAGGGAACUUAAGAGUUUAAGUUUCUCGUCUUAGGAUCAUCCAGGGUCAUUCGUACUCGUCCGCGAGAGGUGAAAUUCUUGGACCGGACGAAGACGACCAGCAGCGAAAGCAUCUGUCAGGGAUGUUUUCUGCGACAAAGGACGAAGGUCAGGGUAUCGAAGACGAUUAGAUACCGUCGUAGUCCUGACUGUAAACUAUGCCAACUUGGGUCUUGCUGGUUAAUGCUUUGUGAGACCCACACAGAAAUGAAAGUGUAUGGGUUCUGGGGGUAGUAUGGACACAAGUCUGAAACUUGAAGGAAUUGACGGAAGAGCACCAUAAGACGUGGAGCUUGCGGCUUAAUUUGACUCAACGCGGGAAAACUUACCAGGUCAAGACAUGGGCGUGAUUGACAGGCUAAUGACUUUUCUCGAUUCCAUGGAUGGUGGUGCAUGGUCGCACUUAGUUGGUGCAGUGAUUUGUCAGGUUUAUUCCGGUAACGAACGAGACCUCAGCCU
RNAcentral lists this ribosomal RNA (1199 nucleotides) under uncultured marine eukaryote. RNAcentral's name for it is "bacterial SSU rRNA". It matches the Rfam family "Eukaryotic small subunit ribosomal RNA", at positions 1 to 1349 of the family's 1831-position model. The record is from RNAcentral.